This 470-nucleotide unclassified non-coding RNA is filed under the name plant metagenome. Its description in RNAcentral is "partial contains small subunit ribosomal RNA, internal transcribed spacer 1, and 5.8S ribosomal RNA". The record is from RNAcentral.
UCUCCGUAGGUGAACCUGCGGAGGGAUCAUUAACACGUGCCACCAUACACGUAUACCAAACACGCUGUGAACGUUAACCAAAAACAUACCUCCCUUGGUAGAAGUGAUCGAGUGAUACUCAUCUGGGUGGAGUAGAGAAUUCUUGCAAUCAAUUGCAAGAAUUCUUUUACUAUGACUCGCCCUAGGAAUCCUUUGAGAUUCCAAUCCGCUAUCAAGUGUAUGUGCCGCCACCUGGCAGUCUGCGAUCUUGCUGAUUUUUUUAGCAUUGAAAGCAGCGUUCUGCCGAAUUGUAUUAACCCAUUUUUUAAACCCCUUUAACAACAUACUAACAACUGAACCAUAUGCAUUUUUUUCAUUCGGAGGAAAAGGGAAGGUUGCAAAACCCACCUUGACCAACCCGACAUUGAAAAAAAAACAUAUUGAUAUUACGUCAUGCUGAACAACUCUUAGCAAUGGAUAUCUUGGUUCUC